Small nuclear RNA from Ictidomys tridecemlineatus (thirteen-lined ground squirrel), 107 nucleotides. Lineage: Eukaryota; Metazoa; Chordata; Mammalia; Rodentia; Sciuridae. The record is from Ensembl.
GUGCUAGCUUCUGAAGCACAUAUGCUAAAAUUGAAAUAAUACAGAGGAGGUUAGCCUGGCCCCUGUGCAAAAAUGACACACAAAUUCAUGAAGCUUUCCAUAUUUUU